RNAcentral lists this ribosomal RNA (497 nucleotides) under uncultured bacterium. RNAcentral's name for it is "partial 16S ribosomal RNA". It matches the Rfam family "Bacterial small subunit ribosomal RNA", at positions 28 to 507 of the family's 1533-position model. The record is from RNAcentral.
GAUGAACGCUGGCGGCGUGCCUAAUACAUGCAAGUCGAGCGAACAGAUAAGGAGCUUGCUCCUCUGACGUUAGCGGCGGACGGGCGAGUAACACGUGGAUAACCUACCUAUAAGACUGGGAUAACUUCGGGAAACCGGAGCUAAUACUGGAUAAUAUAUUCAACCGCAUGGUUCAAUAGUGAAAGACGGUUUUGCUGUCACUUAUAGAUGGAUCCGCGCCGCAUUAGCUAGUUGGUAAGGUAACGGCUUACCAAGGCAACGAUGCGUAGCCGACCUGAGAGGGUGAUCGGCCACACUGGAACUGAGACACGGUCCAGACUCCUACGGGAGGCAGCAGUAGGGAAUCUUCCGCAAUGGGCGAAAGCUUGACGGAGCAACGCCGCGUGAGUGAUGAAGGUCUUCGGAUCGUAAAACUCUGUUAUUAGGAAAGAACAAAUGUGUAAGUAACUAUGCACGUCUUGACGGUACCUAAUCAGAAAGCCACGGCUAACUACGUG